Long non-coding RNA from Hirundo rustica (Barn swallow), 994 nucleotides. RefSeq lists it as uncharacterized. The transcript is spliced from 2 exons. The record is from RefSeq and is a predicted model, not a curated record. NCBI's taxonomy places the organism in Eukaryota, Metazoa, Chordata, Aves, Passeriformes, Hirundinidae.
UGCUGGGACCAGGUGUCCUGCCUCAGCUGGAACUAUUUGAACUAAAUGUAACAGAAAAUGAAAGGAGGCAAGAAACGGCUGGGACCCAGUAAAGGCUAAGGAAUAAAUGGGGAGUAUGGAAGUGCUGAGCCCUUCUGGGCAGGGAAAGGAGCCUGUAGCACCUGGCCACGGGGUCUGAAUUCGACAUGAGGAUGAAGGAGUCCGUGACCAUGGGUUUCAGUGAACGCAUCAGUGCAUCCAAAGGUUAUCUUCAAGCCCAGCUUACACAGCUGUGUGACCCCUCAGACUCUCCCCUUUCCUGGGAAAAAGGAGCUUUUAGCGGCUUCCCUCGAGGAGGAAAACGGGAGACGGCACAACUUCGUGUUCCAAGUGGGAAUAUUAAACACAGCUUGGAGCAGAGCCCCCAUUUCCCCAGUCCCGGGUGCCUGAUCCGCAGAACGGCAGCUCAGUGGGUGUUUAUGGGAUGGGGAGGGGGCUGGAUGUGACCCCUGUGUGGCACCAGCAGGGCUGAGCUUUCCUUGGGGGAUACCUCAGCCUCAGACGCUGCCCUGCCACGACACUGCUCCGGCAGAUGUUGGUUCCUGGGAGGAACCGGGAUGGAACUUUGCCCCUCAGAUUAGCUCCCCAUCAAUGGGCCAUUGACACAGAAGUUAAGGAGUUUCUUGCUGCCCCUGGUGAAUUUCAAAGCUUUUCUUUGGUUUUGCUGCAUCAUUGAAGCCAUGGGAAAAGCAGCCGGAAAACUCCGCGCCUGUGCUGCUCCAAAGGAGUGAUUGAUACGGCGCUCCCAAUUACUUAAUUGUGGUUAUCCUAUUAAUAACAGCCUCGUUCUGUGGCACACACCUGCCUCUCCAUGGGAAACGCUGUUAAACGUAACUUAAAACACCAAUUACAUGCAAAGGAAAAGCAGCAAUUAAAUCCACUAAGCCUUGUCCAAAUAAUUAUUUAAUUUCCCUGUAAUAUUUUAAUGUUAUAAAAAGGCCGUUUCUUCAAAGCA